Molecule: transfer RNA, 77 nt
Filed under: Alosa alosa (allis shad)
Lineage: Eukaryota; Metazoa; Chordata; Actinopteri; Clupeiformes; Clupeidae
Description: tRNA-Ile
Source: RNAcentral
GGCCGGUUAGCUCAGUUGGUUAGAGCUGCGGUGCUAAUAACGCCAAGGUCGCGGUUCGAUCCCCUCGCGACGGGCCA